UCUCUUUCCCUUUUACUGUUUAUGUUGGUGUUAGAUGUAUGUGUGAUAAGUGCCGGGGUUAGUUAGCUUAAAAUGUGUUUGAUGCAUUGAUUCAGAAUUGAUUUGAGUAGAAUAUUCAAGGUCACAAUCAGAUUUAUAUCCAUCUGGGGGUUGUGUGUGUAUUCUGCGACAGAUCUGCAUUGUUUUGAGGUGAAUGGUUGGAUUUUAAUUGACUUUAUGUUUGAUUCUUUGAGAUUGGUGACCGAUGCUACAACUGUAUUUUCUGAAAAAGUCUUGUUUGUGUUUUUCUGCCAUUGGAUGUGAAACUAGUGAUCGGCGAGCUCGAGACUAUCUGUUAGCUUGUGUAUCAAUUGAACUUGAUGAUCUUAGGUUCUUCAAGCAUGUUAUAGGCAUUGAUAAGUUCAGUAGUCAUUUUCCCCUUUAGUGUGAUUUAACUGCCAUUUUAGCGAAUUCGAGUAUAUUGUUACAUGUUGCAAAGUUUCAAUGCUCGUCCUUUGAUUCAUCUUAGCUUGAGUAUGGUAAUUCCCGUUUUAGUGAAUUCGAGUAUAUUGUUACAUGUUGCAAAGUUUCAAUGCUUGUCCUUUGGUUCAUCUUAGCUUGAGUUUGGUAAUUCCCUUUACUUGCUACUUGUUUCAGAGGAGUCACCUGUCGUUCUUUUAAAAAUAGUGUUUAUGCCAGUAAUUAGGCGAAUUUGCUAUUGUCAUUGGAUAUUCAAGGCCGACAACUAGUAAGUUUGGAGUGUCAUUGAUUAAUUUGGUAAUAUGAUCCCGUUGUUUCUAUAAUUGUUCUUCGUGGUUUUAAUUUGCUCGCUCGGUUAUUUGCUUGUGUCACUCGAAUUGGUUGUAGACACGAUGUUGUCCCUAUGUAGAUAUUGGUUUGCUAUUCAUCAACUGAACUACGCAAUUAGAGAAAUGUGUAUAUAUUAAACUCCUUAGAUUUGGGGAUAGCCUGCUUAGCGAAUUUCACGGCCCUCCCAGAAGAUAAUAACGCGCUAGACUCUUUUAGAUGCGAUUCUAAUAAAAUUACAUUCCUAAAUACGGGCGGGCAUUUUAUGAGGCCCAAAUCCAAAUCCUAAAACGUUGAAUAGAGUGCGCCUAGGAUUGCGGGUUCAUUUCAUGCGGUGCAAUCCGAAACACACCUUAGACGAAUUCGGCCCAAAUCCAAAUCUUAAAACGUUGAAUAGAGUGUGAAACUCAAAGGAAUUGACGGGAGGCCCGCACAAGCGGUGGAGCAUGUGGUUUAAUUCGAUGCAAAGCGAAGAACCUUACCAGGGGAGGGCCAAAAUACUUUGAUUUCUUAUGUUUUGCAAACAAGAUCACACCUUAGGCAGCAAACAUGCUAAUUAAAAUCGAUUUAUCAAUAUUAGAAUCUAGAUGAUUAAUACUAAUUAUUCAACAAAUUUGAUGCGGCGCAAUCCGAAAACAUAUUUUAAACGACGUUCACUUUCUUAAAUAAAUAUUAAAUAAAAGCGGUUAAGUAAAAAUUAGCACGUAGGUUCUUCAUGUAAUAAAAUCGGUUAAAGUUAAAUACAACAGUUGAGCGACCUUGCUAGAACCACGGAACCCGGGAAUGCCUAACACCUUCUCCCAGGUUAACACAAUUCCUUAUCCGGAUUUCUGGUUCGCGGACUGUGAACAGAGUCAUCUUUUUCCUCGGUUCGGGAUUNN
RNAcentral lists this long non-coding RNA (1667 nucleotides) under Nicotiana benthamiana. RNAcentral's name for it is "long non-coding RNA (NBEN_LNC028891)". Lineage: Eukaryota; Viridiplantae; Streptophyta; Magnoliopsida; Solanales; Solanaceae. The record is from RNAcentral.